GGUUAACGCUGGCGGCGUGCCUAACACAUGCAAGUCGAGCGAGGGCUCGUCUCCCGCAAGGGGGGCGGGUUCCUAGCGGCAAACGGGUGAGUAACACGUGGGCAACCUGUCCUUUCGUGGGGGAUAACACCGAGAAAUCGGUGCUAAUACCGCAUGAGGUCGUCGAGGGCAUCCUCGGCGAAGAAAGCAGAGAUGCGCGAGAGGGUGGGCCCGCGGCCUAUCAGCUAGUCGGUGGGGUAACGGCCUACCGAGGCAUUGACGGGUAGCUGGUCUGAGA
This 277-nucleotide ribosomal RNA is filed under the name uncultured bacterium. Its description in RNAcentral is "partial 16S ribosomal RNA". It matches the Rfam family "Bacterial small subunit ribosomal RNA", at positions 28 to 297 of the family's 1533-position model. The record is from RNAcentral.